AGGGUCCUCUGGGCAGCACAGGAGCCCUGAGAGGAGACAGAGACAGACCCGCAAGGCCAUCCUGGAGUCCGGCGGAUCCCAAAGUGUCAUUGGAUGGAGACCACUAGAAGUAGCUCUGAGCAGGAUUUAAAAUGAACCAAUCGGC
RNAcentral lists this long non-coding RNA (145 nucleotides) under Cavia porcellus (domestic guinea pig). RNAcentral's name for it is "lncRNA (ENSCPOG00000038380.1)". Lineage: Eukaryota; Metazoa; Chordata; Mammalia; Rodentia; Caviidae. The record is from RNAcentral.